This 674-nucleotide long non-coding RNA is filed under the name Harpegnathos saltator (Jerdon's jumping ant). Its description in RNAcentral is "uncharacterized LOC112588501". Lineage: Eukaryota; Metazoa; Arthropoda; Insecta; Hymenoptera; Formicidae. The record is from RNAcentral.
UUCAACGUAUUGAGAGAAUGUUGAUAGAAAUAAAAUUUGACAUUAAUUGUCUAACUGAACAAUAUCAACAUAUAAAUAAUAAAUGUUUCUCAAAUGAGGCACAAGAACGUCAUAAUUCUACACCAACUGAUGAAUUAAGUGAGUUAUCCUUCCCUCUGAAAACUAUAGAAGAAGUCGAGUCACUAGAACGCAUUCUUACUUCAAACGGAGUAGGAAUAAAAGAGCAUAUGUUUAACAUAUUAGCAAUGAUUGGUGGGACUAGCUAUGAAGAAAUGUCAAAAAGGAUGCUUCUUUAUGUUUUUACGAAUGAAGUAGCUAGUAUGUACAGUUAGGUAGGAGGUAAAGGAAAACGGAAACUUCAUAAUUUCGAAAUAAUGAAAUUAAUGUUUAAAGUUGUCAGGAAGACAUUCCCUAAUGUUACCGAAAAGAAUUUUGAAAUUAAAUGCAAAGAUUGGUUCCGACACGCGAAACACAGAGCUGAAAACGAAAAAUGACGGCAAAGUUCAACAAAGUAAAGUCGUCAGCUACAUUUCUCAACUACAGUUCGCAGCUACAGAAUUCUCAGUGUUCAGAUUAAUUAAUCUUUAAUAUAAAAAAUAUUUUAUGUUAUAAUGUUAAUUGAGAGCCUAUGUUUUUAUAUUAAUUAUAGAUAUAGUUGCAACUGUAUUUUUGUA